CCUACGGGAGGCAGCAGUGGGGAAUAUUGCACCAUGGGGGAAACCCUGAUGCAGCGACGCCGCGUGAGUGAAGAAGUAUUUCGGUAUGUAAAGCUCUAUCAGCAGGGAAGAAGAAAGACGGUACCUGACUCAGAAGCCCCGGCUAACUACGUGCCAGCAGCCGCGGUAAUACGUAGGGGGCAAGCGUUAUCCGGAUUUACUGGGUGUAAAGGGAGCGUAGACGGCUGUGCAAGUCUGAAGUGAAAGCCCAGGGCUCAACCCUGGGACUGCUUUGGAAACUGUGGAGCUAGAGUGCUGGAGAGGUAAGUGGAAUUCCUAGUGUAGCGGUGAAAUGCGUAGAUAUUAGGAGGAACACCAGUGGCGAAGGCGGCUUACUGGACAGUAACUGACGUUGAGGCUCGAAAGCGUGGGGAGCAAACAGGAUUAGAUACCCGUGUAGUC
Molecule: ribosomal RNA, 441 nt
Filed under: uncultured bacterium
Lineage: Bacteria
Description: partial 16S ribosomal RNA
Rfam family: Bacterial small subunit ribosomal RNA
Source: RNAcentral